UACGUAGGUGGCAAGCGUUGUUCGGAAUAACUGGGCGUAAAGGAUGCGUAGGCGGUUAAACAAGUUAUAUGUUAAAUAUAUAGGCUUAACCUGUAGAAAGCAUAUAAAACUGUUUAACUAGAGUGCAGGAGAGAUAAGUGGAAUUCCUAGUGUAGCGGUGAAAUGCGUAGAGAUUAGGAAGAACACCAGUGGCGAAGGCGACUUACUGGACUGUAACUGACGCUGAGGCAUGAGAGCAUGGGGAGCAAACAGG
This 253-nucleotide ribosomal RNA is filed under the name uncultured bacterium. RNAcentral's name for it is "partial 16S ribosomal RNA". It matches the Rfam family "Bacterial small subunit ribosomal RNA", at positions 524 to 776 of the family's 1533-position model. The record is from RNAcentral.